Molecule: ribosomal RNA, 253 nt
Filed under: uncultured bacterium
Lineage: Bacteria
Description: partial 16S ribosomal RNA
Rfam family: Bacterial small subunit ribosomal RNA
Source: RNAcentral
UACAGAGGGUGCGAGCGUUAAUCGGAAUUACUGGGCGUAAAGGGCUCGUAGGCGGCCAACUAAGUCAGACGUGAAAUCCCUCGGCUUAACCGGGGAACUGCAUCUGAUACUGGAUGGCUUGAGUUUGGGAGAGGGAUGCGGAAUUCCAGGUGUAGCGGUGAAAUGCGUAGAUAUCUGGAGGAACACCGGUGGCGAAGGCGGCAUCCUGGACCAACACUGACGCUGAGGAGCGAAAGCCAGGGGAGCAAACGGG